GAUUUCAUCAACGGUGCUGAAGUUGCAUCCCUUUUGGACUGCAUCCGUCUCACUGCAGGACCCUUGCAUGCUCUUGCUGCUGCAACACGGCCGGCACGAGCAGCUCCAGUUUCUGGUGUUCCUGGUGUUACAGCGCCUAUGUCUUCUGUUGCAAAGCAGACUAGUUAUGUUCCAUCUUUACCAAGCAAUGUAAGCAGUAGCAUAAAUCAGCCUGCAUCCGGACCCGGAGUUAAUGCGGCCGGCACGGGCAGCUCCAGUUUCUGGUGUUCCUGGUGUUACAGCACCUAUGUCUUCUGUUGCAAAGCAGACUACUUAUGUUCCAUCUUUACCAAGCAAUGUAAGCACUAGCAUAAAUCAGCCUACAACCGGACCUGGAGUUAAUCCAGUUUCAGCUACUGUGGGUGCACUUGGCACGCAUCCUAGU
RNAcentral lists this long non-coding RNA (424 nucleotides) under Nicotiana benthamiana. RNAcentral's name for it is "long non-coding RNA (NBEN_LNC038408)". Lineage: Eukaryota; Viridiplantae; Streptophyta; Magnoliopsida; Solanales; Solanaceae. The record is from RNAcentral.